AUUCUAGAAACUUACUUUAGUGAUCAUAAAGCAAUAUGGGCUUAACUUAGGACAUAGAAAUAAUAAUUAUAUACCAUUCAAUUAGGUAUUGCAAAGAUAGCAAGCCAUUGUGCCACUGCAUGCGAAUGUUAUUAAGGCAACCCAUUCCGCCACUGCCAAUGUUAUUAAGGCAAGCAAUUGCGCCACUUCCAGUGUUAUUAACGCAAGCCGCUGUGCCACUGCCAAUGUUAUAAAAUUAAGUCAUUGUGUGGACGAUGGCUACAUUUAGGUAAGUUUUCUUUUUAUCUCUUCCCCCCUCUCCCUUCCAUGUAUUUUUGUGUUUAAUUGGGUUUUUUCUUUUUUAGAUAUCUCUAUACAUUAAUCAUGGUCACUUUAAUGAUAACUUCAGUCAACAAAAGUACACAAAAUAGAUACUUGGUAUGUUGCUACGUCUUAUUACCACAUCUAGUCAUAUCACCAACAAAGCUCCGACUGUAUGGCUUAUCCACGUUACGUUAAUUGCAUUCACUAAUACUGUUGCAUUAAUAUUUACAGAUAUACCAAAGAUGUACUAUACAAGAAUACUGACAACAUUGGUGGAUAAAUUAUAUUGAAUGAUAUCAUCUUAUGUCAAUUAAUAUGCGAAAAUGAAACAAUUCAUUUCAGCUACCAAUUGCUUCAACGAAAUCGCACGUACAAAGAAAACGUCUGCAGUUGUGUUCGUUAUGUAUUCUGAAAAUUCAUUGUGGAAAACAUGAAAAUUAAGAAAGAUGCACAGUACUUCAAGAUACAACUUGGAUAUUUGUUGUAAG
Paramuricea clavata is the source of this 791-nucleotide non-coding RNA. NCBI's taxonomy places the organism in Eukaryota, Metazoa, Cnidaria, Anthozoa, Malacalcyonacea, Plexauridae. The record is from the annotation of a GenBank genome assembly.